UUGUGAAGCGGAGCGGGAGGUGGUGCGAAGUAGCCAACACCAAGUUUCCGUUUUCAACACACUCUAGUACCCGCGGAACCUAGUGGAGAGACUAAACACGUCGUACUGCCUCUGUUUCCUUCGGGAGUUCGAGUCCUUCUUGCGGGUGACGUCCACUCUGCCACUUGUAGUUCCACUUCUACCUGACGCUCCCGACGCUCUCCUCCCAGUUCUUGCGGCAGUUUAGCUAAGCCCCAUGAGUAUGGAUGCAGUUUAUUAUGAUAGAUGAGGCCCUCUAUUUUUAAACCACAUUUUAACUAACUCGCUUGCAACUUGCUAGAGUAGAGACACCCAGCCACCGUGUCCACACUGUUCGCACCGGCAUUUGGGGUUCUACUCGUUCCACUGCCACUGUCCCGUGCACCUCGGCGCGUUCCACGACCUCGCCCACUUCUCGUGCCCCUUCCGCCGCCUCUACACCGGCAUGCACGGGAUGUGCGAGCGGUGGAUGGGAUGCAGCCGCCGCGGAUGCUGUUCUUCCGUGGCCGCCCGAAGCAGGCGUCGCGUGGCGUCCGGUACCGGCUGGGGCGCCGCGGACUCUAGGUGAUGUACUUGUACAAGUUGCUGCUCCUGCAGUUGCGGACGUGGCAGUACACUAGACUAGUAGCAUUAGCGGUCGAGGAAGGUGAGAUCGGCUGCUGGUCUGCUGGUCGCCUUUCUGUACGAACUAUACAGAAGUACGUAGUGGUUCUGACAUAAACAUAUAUAUACAAAAGAGCGAACCCUUUUCCCCUAUGGUUCUUAUGCUCGAACGCACGCUUGUCGAUAUUAUAUGAUGUUUCUUUAUCGAUUUCAAAUUAUUCGC
Molecule: ribosomal RNA, 844 nt
Filed under: Triticum aestivum (bread wheat)
Lineage: Eukaryota; Viridiplantae; Streptophyta; Magnoliopsida; Poales; Poaceae
Description: partial small subunit ribosomal RNA
Source: RNAcentral